RNAcentral lists this long non-coding RNA (619 nucleotides) under Portunus trituberculatus (swimming crab). RNAcentral describes it as "uncharacterized LOC123517011, transcript variant X2". The record is from RNAcentral. Lineage: Eukaryota; Metazoa; Arthropoda; Malacostraca; Decapoda; Portunidae.
UUUUGCUGUGUAUGGACGAACAUGGUGCGGUGUGUUGAGGGAAAAUUCGGACUUGCUUGGCUACAUACAUUUGUCAUGCGUUGUGAUUGGCCUCAUGGACUACUAAAGCAUCACCUCAGUGCUUUGGCCAACGUCAGGGCCACUGUGAAGGCCACGGCGAGGGCCACCAGGCGUCACCAGCACGCCAGCCACAGGUUGGUGCGGCGCCAUGGACGUGUGCACGGGUGCAUGCGUGUCAUAUAGUGUAACAACCGGAGAGGCUCGCUGUGAUGUGUGAGAAGAGCUCAAAUGCUGGUAACCUUCCCCAGUAAUCCAAGUGUUUUAACUGUCAGCUGGUGAACGAUCCUGGAACCGCUUCUUGUAACUGCUUCUCCCCCACUCUCCACGGUCUCCACAGUUACAGCAGUAUUCCAGCAAGGAAAGGAUUAGUGAUUUGUAUUGCGUCAGCAUUGGAAAGAUGUCCUGCCUUCUAAAUGUACGUGACAUCCAACUUACCUGGCUUCAUGGUGCUUUUGUCACGUUAUUUGUAUGUUUCUAAAACUACAACCUCAUGUAACACCGAUGUCUUUUGUGCUUCUUGGUGAUAAUGUUAGUUCCAUCUUGAGCUGUGGACACAUCU